Molecule: unclassified non-coding RNA, 244 nt
Filed under: uncultured Sordariales
Lineage: Eukaryota; Fungi; Ascomycota; Sordariomycetes; Sordariales
Description: sequence contains ITS2
Source: RNAcentral
AACGCACAUUGCGCCCGCUAGUAUUCUGGCGGGCAUGCCUGUUCGAGCGUCAUUUCAACCAUCAAGCCCCAGGCUUGCGUUGGAGCCCUGCGGCUGCCGCAGGCUCUCAAAUACAGUGGCGGGCUCGUCGUCGUACCGAGUGCAGUAAACAUCCUCGCUCAGGGAACGCGUCGGGUUCUUGCCGUGAAACCCCCCCUAUAUUCAGGUUGACCUCGGAUCAGGUAGGAAUACCCGCUGAACUUAA